GGGGAAUUUUAGACAAUGGGGGCAACCCUGAUCCAGCCAUGCCGCGUGAGUGAAGAAGGCCUGCGGGUUGUAAAGCUCUUUCGGACGGAAAGAAAUCGCCGCCUCUAACAUAGGCGGUGGAUGACGGUACCAUAAGAAGAAGCACCGGCUAACUACGUGCCAGCAGCCGCGGUAAUACGUAGGGUGCGAGCGUUAAUCGGAAUUACUGGGCGUAAAGCGUGCGCAGGCGGUUUGGUAAGACAGGUGUGAAAUCCCCGGGCUUAACCUGGGAACUGCGCUUGUGACUGCCAGGCUAGAGUACGGCAGAGGGGGGUGGAAUUCCACGUGUAGCAGUGAAAUGCGUAGAGAUGUGCAGGAAUACCGAUGGCGAACGCAGCCCCCUGGGACUGUACGGACGCUCAUGCACGAAAGCGUGGGGAGCAAACA
This 426-nucleotide ribosomal RNA is filed under the name uncultured beta proteobacterium. RNAcentral's name for it is "bacterial SSU rRNA". It matches the Rfam family "Bacterial small subunit ribosomal RNA", at positions 356 to 774 of the family's 1533-position model. Lineage: Bacteria; Pseudomonadati; Pseudomonadota; Betaproteobacteria. The record is from RNAcentral.